GUGGGUAUAGGUCAGUGGUAGAGUGUGUGCUUAGCAUGCGUGAGGUCCUGGGUUCAAUCCCCAGCACCUCCA
RNAcentral lists this transfer RNA (72 nucleotides) under Camelus bactrianus (Bactrian camel). It matches the Rfam family "tRNA". From Rfam's summary of the family: Transfer RNA (tRNA) molecules are approximately 80 nucleotides in length. RNAcentral also lists the same sequence under 2 other names. Lineage: Eukaryota; Metazoa; Chordata; Mammalia; Artiodactyla; Camelidae. The record is from Rfam by way of RNAcentral.